Long non-coding RNA from Sardina pilchardus (European sardine), 2001 nucleotides. RefSeq lists it as uncharacterized. The record is from RefSeq and is a predicted model, not a curated record. The transcript has 4 exons. Lineage: Eukaryota; Metazoa; Chordata; Actinopteri; Clupeiformes; Clupeidae.
ACCUAAAAGAAAUGGACAAACAGACUCCGUCGUUCUCAAUGAGAGGGGGCUGAAACAAAAAAUCGUUUCCUGUUCAUCGUACUGCGCAGACUCAAACUCAUUUUGUGACGUUGGCCGCCCUGAACAUUGCUGUAACUCGUCUGAUAGAUGUUCAUACAGAUAUUUUGCCAUUCGACCUCGACUGACUGCGAUUUCUUGGAUCUUGUAAGUACAAUCUGAUUCUUUUUUAAACAUAUUUUUAGUCUUUGUCUGAAUCACUCAUUUCUUGCAAAAUGGUAUUUCUGUACUGUUAAGUCGAUGAUCACGUUUUUAAAAACCUACAUCGAAUAGAUUAAUAAAGCGUUAGACUCGCUAAAGUCUAGCUAUGGCUAAAGUCUGAAGUGGAUAGCAAAAGAAAACCGUUAGAGGCAGACAGGCUAACUUUUUACUGUUCAUUAUAGUUUCACUAACGUCAAUCGUAAUGUCGACCGUCAGUAUUUAUCAGUAUUUAUCAGUAGAUUGUAAAUUAUUAGAAGUGUUAUAUCCUUUAGUAGUGUUUGUACUCUAGGCGCCAGUUAGCAUGUAACAGCAUGUAACAGCAUGUGAAUGAAUGAACUGGCCACACUAGCAUGGUGCAUUUAUACCUGACGAUCUCUUUCAAGACAUUUGAAUAAAAAACGGACAUCAUGGUUAGUAUUUAUAGGGUCUGUACAUGUGGUCCCUAGCCUGGUUUGUCUGAGAAUUAAGUAGAAAUAUCCUUUAGAAGUGUUUGUACUUUAGGCGCUAGUUAGCAUGUAACAGCAUCUGAAUGAAUGAACUGACCACUACUGUAUGGUGCAUUUAUACCUGACGAUCUCUUUCAAGUCAUUUAAAUAAAACAUGGAUAUCAUGGUUAGUAUUUGUAGAGUCUGUAAAUGUGGUCCCUUGCUUGGUUUGUCUGAAAAUUAAGUGGAAAUAUCCUUUAGAAGUGUUUGUACUUUAGGCGCUAGUUAGCAUGUGCCAGGUGUCAUACCACUGCAGUAAUCAUCUCACUAAACACGUCUUUUCAUAUCCAAUCUGUUCAACAGAGUUUACCAGUCAGACCACUACACCUUUGCCAGCACCACCACCCAGCAAGCUUCAUCAACUCCAGCCAUGCCGAGUUUACCAGUCAGACCUACACCUCCGUCAAAUUCGCUCACAGCGCUGCCAAUAACACCCCAGCAAAUUUUUACAGACUUGUUCUGCAGCACUUCCGAACAAUUGAGGAGGAGCUGGGGUAAAGCAGCAGGUGGCUGUGAACACAUCUAUGCUGCAGAAGCUAGGUGGUGGUGGUGUGGCAGAUCUUGGCCUCGUGGAGGACAACAACAGGCCAUUGAGUAAUGUUGAGGACCUGGACGAGUUGGAGAGGCGGCUUGCAUCCGAUGCGGACCUGAAAAAUCAACUGGUGAACAUACUUGGGAGGGAAAACCACCGAGAUGCUGUUAAGAGGAUGCUGGGCCGGGCUUUGAGGAGGUCCCUGGCGCUCCAAAUUAAUUAGACUGGUGCAGCAGGAAAGGUGGCUUUUAAGUCCUUACACCUGAAGAGUGUGUUGCAUAUUAAUAUCAUUAUUAAAAAUAAUUUUAAUAAAUUGUUUAAGCAUGUAGAAGAAAUAAAGCAUGUAAAUGAGCAUGUAAAAGAAAUAAAUAAACAAAAUGUAUUGAACCUAAUACUAUGUGUGGUGAGUCUGUGUGAUAGUUGCUGAGGAUAAAUGUUUUUAUAUUGGAUUAUUAAAUUACAGAAUACAUUUAUAGGUUUCUCAUCAGCAGGCACUGUCUUCACCUUAGUAAAUUUGGUAACUUUGGUAAGCCCUGUAAAUAAUUGUAAAUUGUUCUGAUUGAGGGCAAAUGGAAAGUGUUAUAAUGUAUUAUUGCUAUAUUUUAGUACAUAAUUUUAAUUAUUAAGGCCAUAAAUAAGGCCAAUUAGAAGCUGGUGGGUAGUAAGCGGCAAAAGGGUGGCCCUUUAUCUGGAGCCGCUUCUGAGCCGCCGGUGGACCGCUAGAGA